Molecule: long non-coding RNA, 1172 nt
Filed under: Setaria viridis
Lineage: Eukaryota; Viridiplantae; Streptophyta; Magnoliopsida; Poales; Poaceae
Description: long non-coding RNA (SVIR_LNC007200)
Source: RNAcentral
GAGGGAGUAGUAGGUUAUUUGGAUGGACAUCGACAUCUGCAAAUUACAAAGUGCUCAAGAGGUAGCUUCUUGCUGGAUCGUAGCCUGAAGAAGACCCAGCCCGGUGGGGACGACCGGUGCCCUUUUACGUGGUGUCCUUGAGACCUUGAAUCAUAUGUUUUGCCAUGCAAUUGUAAUUGAACUGUAAUUAUCUCCCACAUGAGGAUAAUCUAAUAUUGCCCGCCCUUCGUCACAAUGUAGGAUUUCAAUCUUGCGAUGCUUGGAGCAGAUACAAUAUUUAAUUGCCAACUGCUUCAAAUAAAAAAAUCCAAAUUCAUUAUAUUGGGUGGGUAAUUCACUUAGACAUCAAACACCCCCUCUCCCCCACACCCCGUGCAAGCUCCCUCCAGCCUCAUACGUGGAAUAAAGGAGCCGGUUGCAAUUAUAUUUAAUUAAUUGCACUCUCCCUGAUUCAAAUUUAACAGCUGGUACUAAUCUUACUAUUACUAAUACUAAUUGGAGGCUUCUUUUGAAGCCUCUAGGUGGACACUCUAGAAAAAGAGAGAAAUCCUAGAAAUUCUCACAAAAAAGCAAAACAUCCGACCAUCGAUCGAUAGAUUCAAAUCAUUAUAGCUACUGGAUCUAUUAUGUUUUUUAAAAAAAUUACCCACCCAUGCCAUUAUGAAAAUAGCCUAAAGUAACCCCCUAAAUCUAUUUAUAAAUUACCCACCUCUGCCAUUAUAUAAAAUUAAUUAAAGUAACCCCUAAUCUUCAUCAAAAUUACCCACUUAUGCCAUUAUAAAUAAUAUUUAAAAUAACCCUCUAAUUUACAACUUAAUUGACUACCAAUAUUACUUAAACUUUUAAGUAACCCCUUAAAUUUGCAUCUAUAUUACCCACACAUGCUAUUAUUAAAAAUAACAUGAGGUAACCCUACAUUUUUUUUUCCAUUGAAGACUCCACGUUAGUUCCCACGAGACAAGCUAGAGAGAAAUUCUCAUAAAAAUUAAAAAUAUCAAACACCAAUCAUGUAAACUCUAAUAAUCACAGCCAUUGAUCUAUUAUAUUUUCUAAAAGGUUACCUGCCACUAUCACUGUGAAAAUAUUAAAAAAUAAGCUCUAAACAUAUAUCUAAAUUACCGAGCUCAGCUAUUAUAAAAAGUAAUAUAAAAUAAUCUCAUAAUCUUCAUCCA